This 417-nucleotide ribosomal RNA is filed under the name uncultured bacterium. RNAcentral describes it as "bacterial SSU rRNA". It matches the Rfam family "Bacterial small subunit ribosomal RNA", at positions 355 to 787 of the family's 1533-position model. The record is from RNAcentral.
UGGGGAAUAUUGGGCAAUGGGCGCAAGCCUGACCCAGCAACGCCGCGUGAAGGAAGAAGGCCCUCGGGUUGUAAACUUCUUUUAUUCGGGACGAAGAAGUGACGGUACCGAAUGAAUAAGCCACGGCUAACUACGUGCCAGCAGCCGCGGUAAUACGUAGGUGGCAAGCGUUAUCCGGAUUUACUGGGUGUAAAGGGAGCGUAGACGGAGCAGCAAGUCUGAUGUGAAAGGCAGGGGCUCAACCCUGGACCUGCAUUUGAAACUGUAGUUCUUGAGUGAUGGAGAGGCAGGCGGAAUUCCGUGUGUAGCGGUGGAAUGCGUAGAUAUACGGAGGAACACCAGUGGCGAAGGCAGCCUGCUGGACAUUAACUGACGCUGAGGCGCGAAAGCGUGGGGAGCAAACAGGAUUAGAUACCC